This 305-nucleotide ribosomal RNA is filed under the name uncultured bacterium. Its description in RNAcentral is "bacterial SSU rRNA". It matches the Rfam family "Bacterial small subunit ribosomal RNA", at positions 337 to 656 of the family's 1533-position model. The record is from RNAcentral.
GCCUACGGGGGGCAGCAGUGGGGAAUAUUGGGCAAUGGGCGCAAGCCUGACCCAGCAACGCCGCGUGAAGGAAGAAGGCUUUCGGGUUGUAAACUUCUUUUAUUCGGGACGAAGAAAGUGACGGUACCGAAUGAAUAAGCCACGGCUAACUACGUGCCAGCAGCCGCGGUAAUACGUAGGUGGCGAGCGUUAUCCGGAUUCACUGGGCGUAAAGGGAGCGCAGGCGGCACGGCAAGUCCGGUGUGAAAGCCCGGGGCCCAACCCCGGGACUGCACUGGAAACUGCCGGGCUGGAGUGUCGGAGGG